Molecule: long non-coding RNA, 451 nt
Organism: Toxorhynchites rutilus septentrionalis
Lineage: Eukaryota; Metazoa; Arthropoda; Insecta; Diptera; Culicidae
Exons: 3
Source: RefSeq, a predicted model, not a curated record
CACAACACGAAAAAGAUUUUCCCACGAUCUGAAAUUCGUUGAAAACGGAGUGUGAAACAAAUCUCGUUGAAUUUGUGAAAACAAACGAGUGCUUCAGUUCGAAGGAACAUCGUGUGAAACCAGCCACACAACAAAGAAAAUUUGGACUGAUAUACCAAAUGCACUGAAACAAGGAGAUAUUCGCAUAAUAAAUGCGCUUUCACAAGCUCCAAGUAUAGGAUUGGCACCGACGGCGGCUUCAUCAUGACAGUAUUUUGAAGCAUUAAAGAUUUUGUAAACACUUAUCAGCAAAUGAAGUGGAACUGCCAGCAACUACGACCCUGAAUGAUCAGUUCUCGUGUAGAAAAAAUCGACGAAACAACUUGUGUUCCGGCUGCUGGGAGUGAUAACAAAACUCCACGGAAAUGGAACAAACAGCAGCACAAAAAUAUUGAUCUCCGUGACAUUAAGC